Molecule: ribosomal RNA, 425 nt
Filed under: uncultured bacterium
Lineage: Bacteria
Description: partial 16S ribosomal RNA
Rfam family: Bacterial small subunit ribosomal RNA
Source: RNAcentral
GUGGGGAAUCUUGCGCAAUGGGCGAAAGCCUGACGCAGCCAUGCCGCGUGAAUGAUGAAGGUCUUAGGAUUGUAAAAUUCUUUCACCGGGGACGAUAAUGACGGUACCCGGAGAAGAAGCUCCGGCUAACUUCGUGCCAGCAGCCGCGGUAAUACGAAGGGGGCUAGCGUUGCUCGGAAUUACUGGGCGUAAAGGGCGCGUAGGCGGACAGCUUAGUCAGAGGUGAAAGCCCAGGGGUCAACCUUGGAAUUGCCUUUGAUACUGGCUGUGUUGAGUUUGGGAGAGGGGAGUGGAACUCCGGGUGUAGGGGUGAAAUUCGUAGAUAUUCGGAAGAAAACCAGUGGCGAAGGCGACUCACUGGCCCAAUACUGACGCUGAGGCGCGAAAGCGUGGGGAGCAAACAGGAUUAGAAACCCCGGUAGUCC